Molecule: long non-coding RNA, 1635 nt
Organism: Pygocentrus nattereri (red-bellied piranha)
Lineage: Eukaryota; Metazoa; Chordata; Actinopteri; Characiformes; Serrasalmidae
Source: Ensembl
AGUCGCCCCCUACUGUUUAUCAGAGUCGCCCCUGCUGUUUAUCAGAGUCGCCCCCUGCUGUUUAUCAGAGCUCCCCCUGCUGUUUAUCAGAGUCGCCCCCCUACUGUUUAUCAGAGUCGCCCCCUGCUGUUUAUCAGAGUCGCCCCCUGCUGUUUAUCAGAGCUCCCCCUGCUGUUUAUCAGAGCUCCCCCUGCUGUUUAUCAGAGUGCCCCCUGCUGUUUAUCAGAGCUGCCCCUGCUGUUUAUCAGAGUCGCCCCCUGCUGUUUAUCAGAGUGCCCCCUGCUGUUUAUCAGAGCUCCCCCUGCUGUUUAUCAGAGCUCCCCCUGCUGUUUAUCAGAGUCUCCCCCUGCUGUUUAUCAGAGUCGCCCCCUACUGUUUAUCAGAGCUCCUCCUGCUGUUUAUCAGAGUUUCCCCUGCUGUUUAUCAGAGUCGCCCCCUGCUGUUUAUCAGAGCUCCUCCUGCUGUUUAUCAGAGUUCCCCCUGCUGUUUAUCAGAGUCGCCCCCUGCUGUUUAUCAGAGCUCCUCCUGCUGUUUAUCAGAGUCGCCCCCUGCUGUUUAUCAGAGUCUCCCCCUGCUGUUUAUCAGAGCGCCCUCCUACUGUUUAUCAGAGUCGCCCCCUGCUGUUUAUCAGAGUCGCCCCCUGCUGUUUAUCAGAGUCGCCCCUGCUGUUUAUCAGAGCUCCCCCUACUGUUUAUCAGAGUUCCCCCUGCUGUUUAUCAGAGUCGCCCCCUGCUGUUCAUCAGAGUCACCCCCUGCUGUUUAUCAGAGUCGCCCCCUGCUGUUUAUCAGAGUCGCCCCCUGCUGUUUAUCAGAGCUCCCUCUGCUGUUUAUCAGAGCUCCCCCUGCUGUUUAUCAGAGCUCCCCCUGCUGUUUAUCAGAGCUCCCCCUGCUGUUUAUCAGAGUCGACCCCUGCUGUUUAUCAGAGCUCCCCCUGCUGUUUAUCAGAGCUCCCCCUGCUGUUUAUCAGAGUCGCCCCUGAUGUUUAUCAGAGCGCCCCCUGCUGUUUAUCAGAGCUCCCCCUGCUGUUUAUCAGUCGCCCCCUGCUGUUUAUCAGAGCGGCCCCCUGCUGUUUAUCAGAGCUCCCCCUGCUGUUUAUCAGAGUCGCCCCUGCUGUUUAUCAGAGUCGCCCCCUGCUGUUUAUCAGAGCUCCCCCUGCUGUUUAUCAGAGCUCCCCCUGCUGUUUAUCAGAGCUCCUCCUGCUGUUUAUCAGAGCUCCCCCUGCUGUUUAUCAGAGUCGCCACCUGCUGUUUAUCAGAGCUGCUCCUGCUGUUUAUCAGAGCUCCUCCUGCUGUUUAUCAGAGCUCCUCCUGCUGUUUAUCAGAGUCGCCCCCUGCUGUUUAUCAGAGCUCCUCCUGCUGUUUAUCAGAGCUCCCCCUGCUGUUUAUCAGAGCUCCUCCUGCUGUUUAUCAGAGCUCCCCCUCCUGUUUAUCAGAGGUCACCUGCUGUUUAUCAGAGCGCCCCCUGCUGUUUAUCAGAGCGUUACUCCUCCUGAUAAACAGACACACACUCAGCUCCGCCUCCUCAUUAUUCACCACCAUCGCUGGAAUAUAUCACCAUCAACAUUACCGCAGGACAGUAAUCAGAGGGACGGUGGAGUUCGAGUCUCACCCUCACAAGGAGAUUAAAGCUGUGUAA